Molecule: ribosomal RNA, 402 nt
Filed under: uncultured Nakamurella sp.
Lineage: Bacteria; Bacillati; Actinomycetota; Actinomycetes; Nakamurellales; Nakamurellaceae
Description: bacterial SSU rRNA
Rfam family: Bacterial small subunit ribosomal RNA
Source: RNAcentral
AGUGGGGAAUAUUGCGCAAUGGGCGGAAGCCUGACGCAGCGACGCCGCGUGAGGGAUGACGGCCUUCGGGUUGUAAACCUCUUUCAGCAGGGACGAAUGUGACGGUACCUGUAGAAGAAGCACCGGCUAACUACGUGCCAGCAGCCGCGGUAAUACGUAGGGUGCGAGCGUUGUCCGGAUUUAUUGGGCGUAAAGAGCUCGUAGGCGGCUUGUCGCGUCGAAUGUGAAAACCCGGGGCUCAACUCCGGGCUUGCAUUCGAUACGGGCAGGCUAGAGUUCGGUAGGGGAGUCUGGAAUUCCUGGUGUAGCGGUGAAAUGCGCAGAUAUCAGGAGGAACACCGGUGGCGAAGGCGGGACUCUGGGCCGAUACUGACGCUGAGGAGCGAAAGCGUGGGGAGCGAA